UACGUAGGGUGCAAGCGUUAUCCGGAAUUAUUGGGCGUAAAGAGCUCGUAGGCGGUUUGUCGCGUCUGCUGUGAAAACCCGAGGCUCAACCUCGGGCCUGCAGUGGGUACGGGCAGACUAGAGUGCGGUAGGGGAUAUUGGAAUUCCUGGUGUAGCGGUGGAAUGCGCAGAUAUCAGGAGGAACACCGAUGGCGAAGGCAGAUCUCUGGGCCGUAACUGACGCUGAGGAGCGAAAGCGUGGGGAGCGAACAGG
RNAcentral lists this ribosomal RNA (253 nucleotides) under uncultured bacterium. Its description in RNAcentral is "partial 16S ribosomal RNA". It matches the Rfam family "Bacterial small subunit ribosomal RNA", at positions 524 to 776 of the family's 1533-position model. The record is from RNAcentral.